This is a non-coding RNA of Paramuricea clavata, 1022 nucleotides long. The record is from the annotation of a GenBank genome assembly. NCBI's taxonomy places the organism in Eukaryota, Metazoa, Cnidaria, Anthozoa, Malacalcyonacea, Plexauridae.
CUCCUUGUAAAGUGCGCGAUUUUUUGCUCUUGGGAAUUUAAGCUUCUUCUUAAAUAGUUUCUUCAGUGCAUAAAAUUUACUCAUGUCAAUCAUUUAUGCACUCGUGGGAACCAACAGAGUGCUGAGGCAUUCAGAUUCUAACAAUUAAAUUGUUAUUGGUGAUUUCAAUAGUUUUCGUUUUUUGGGGGGACACCCUGUAUAAUAGGGUGUUGUUAUUGAACCUACUGUACUUACUAGCACAAUGGACAACUUGCAUGUUAGACUAAAUUUUAAUCUAAGUAAAAAGAAGGGAAUCAAACACCACAGUUAAAAAGAACAUAAUCAAAUUAGUAAAAUUGCAAAAUUUGGUUGUGAAAUGUUACAAAAUACAGAAAAUAUAGCCUUACGAAGUUUGCAUAUUUUCAGUAUAUAAUGUAUAUUUGUGUUACGUGCGGAAAUUAUUGUUACCAUUUUCGGCUCAAAAAUAUGGUAACAAUUUCCGCACGUAAUACAAACAUAUACUGAAAAUAUGCAAACUUCGCAAGGCUAUAUUUUCCGUAUUUUACAACAUUUCGUUACCAAAUUUUGCAAUUUUACUAAUUUUAAUAAGUUUUUUACGGGAAUUUACCUUUUUUCCUAGAUCAAAAAUUAGUCUAACGUGCAAGUUGUCUAUUGAUGUUCGAAUAGCGCUAUUGUCUUUCUUUCCGUGUUAUUGAUAUACUAAUCGUUCUAAUGCGCUUCUCUUUUGUUUAAUUAAAUUACUUGGAAUGAAAGUUGGAAAUGCUGUAUAGACUAUUCUGAACUGACAUUACAACCCGCACGAAAAAAAUCACAGCGUGAACCGCACUAAUAUAGUGCGGAUCACGCUGUGAUUUUAGGCCUCGCCAACACUUUGCCUGCAACUGCAGAACACCAUAGACUGUCAUCAAUCAAGGAAAACUGAUGUGAGGGAGAAGUUGAAUAUUAUUUUUAAUGCCUAACGCGAUGAUAUUUGAUUACAAGCUUGUUCACAAGGGGGCCAAAUAUUAUAAAAUUGAUUCAAC